Molecule: ribosomal RNA, 125 nt
Organism: Cebus imitator (Panamanian white-faced capuchin)
Lineage: Eukaryota; Metazoa; Chordata; Mammalia; Primates; Cebidae
Source: Ensembl
GUUUAUGGCCAUAACCCCCUGAACAGGAUCAGGCCUGAUCUCUUCUGAUUUCGGACAUCAAGAAGGGUAGGGCCAGUUUAGUACUUGGAUGAGAUUUCAACUAGAACUAUCGGGCUUUAUUUACA